CCUACGUGUGGCAGCAGUGGGGAAUAUUGCACAAUGGGGGAAACCCUGAUGCAGCGACGCCGCGUGAGUGAAGACGUAUUUCGGUAUGUAAAGCUCUAUCAGUAGGGAAGAAGAAAGACGGUACCUGACUAAUAAGCCCCGGCUAACUACGUGACAGCAGCCUCGGUAAUACGUAGGGGGCAAGCGUUAUCCGGAUUUACUGGGUGUAAAGGGAGCGUAGACGGAUGGGCAAGUCUGAAGUGAAAGCCUAGGGCUCAACCCUGAGACUGCUUUGGAAACUGUGGAGCUAGAGUGCAGGUGAGGUAAGUGGAAUUCGUAGUGGAGCGGUGAAAUGCUUAGAUAUUAGGAGGAACCCCAGGGGCGAAGGCGGCUUACUGGACAGUAACUGACGUUGAGGCUCGAAAGCGUGGGGAGCAAACAGGAUUAGAUACCCUGGUAGUC
Molecule: ribosomal RNA, 441 nt
Filed under: uncultured bacterium
Lineage: Bacteria
Description: partial 16S ribosomal RNA
Rfam family: Bacterial small subunit ribosomal RNA
Source: RNAcentral